This 940-nucleotide long non-coding RNA is filed under the name Zalophus californianus (California sea lion). RNAcentral describes it as "lncRNA (ENSZCAG00015023490.1)". The record is from RNAcentral. Lineage: Eukaryota; Metazoa; Chordata; Mammalia; Carnivora; Otariidae.
AGGAGUCGUAGGGAACUUGGGAAGUGAGCCAGGUCAAGAACCACUCGUAUUGGUGCCUAGAUUUGCUCUUCUCCAAGCCCUUAGGUGCAACCAUUUUUUCCCCCUUAGGCCUGGAUCCCUGAGGUUUGCUCCCUGAUAUCCCAAGACAAUUUGGUCCCAAGAGAAAACACUGGAGCUAUAUAGUGCUGAGUGAAGAAAAAGUAGAAGGGCAAAGACUAGGUCUCAGGUGCACCCAGAUUGGAGCUGGGAGAGUCUGGAGACAAACGAAACUACCUGGCCAAGCCAAGUACUGUUAGCACUUCGGCUACAGGAUCAGACUUUGCACAAACUGAUGGGAACCAAAACCAAGUGAAGAGGAUUGAAGAUGAACCCACAUUUCAAAAGUCCUUGUCUGCUGGAGGUGGCAUUACCUGUGACCUCGCUUCACAUCUUCAUACUUGGCUGUUGCAGCAGGAGCCUGGAUAUGAUGCUCAAGUGACACAGGCAUUGACUACAAGUUGGACAAAAUGGGCUUUUAGUUUUUUCCAAGCCUGAGACUCUGAGUUUGUAAUUCUUUGGCUGGGGAGAAAGUAAACUUUACUUACCAAUGCCUGUGCUGAUCAGAUAACCUCAAAGCCCAGACACACUGCAUAAUUCUCUGACAGCAAUAACUCAGCUGGCAGUUCCCAGGCAGAGAUGUGGGAGAAAGUCCAAUAUCCGGGAAGCGCUAGGAUCUACAACUUCCUGUGGUCUGCCUACUGAAAUUUGACCAGAUAAGAACAGUUAAUAAGCAGUUCUUGAGAUAGAAAAUCUUCUUUUAUCUCUGAAUGUGGAUAUAUUGAUGUUAAAUAUCUGAAUGGAUGAGGUUAAUUUGAAUAAUCUUCUAUUGUUGCAAGAAAUGCGGAAAAAUGUUCAGGAAAACUUGAAAAACUCUUCAUACCUAUGGCAUGAACCGAAAGAA